UCUGGUGGCGAUGCGCUUAGGGGACACACCCGUUCCCAUCCCGAACACGAUGGUUAAGACCUAAGCGGCCGAUGGUACUUUACUGGAGACGGUACGGGAGAGUAGGUGGCUGCCAGAU
RNAcentral lists this ribosomal RNA (118 nucleotides) under Dorea formicigenerans. Lineage: Bacteria; Bacillati; Bacillota; Clostridia; Lachnospirales; Lachnospiraceae. The record is from RNAcentral. RNAcentral also lists the same sequence under 2 other names.